CGAUGAAGAACGCAGCUAGCUACGAUAAUCGGUGCGAAUUGCAGGACACGCCGAGCACUUGAGCUUCUAACGCACAUUGCGGCUUUCGGGUCUUUUCCGAGGUCACAUCUGUCUGAGAGUUGAGAUGUAAAAUAAUCAACAAAACACUUGUAUACUACCAUAUAUGCAUUGUUUUGAGAUUCGCGUGUAUACGUGUAUCUUGAUGUUUUAUUCCUUUUCUUAAUUGCACAUUUUCUGUGCAGUUUAGUAAGGAGAAUCUCAAAUCUACUUGUUUCACAUAAUAAGUUUUGUGUUCAAUGCAUAUUUCAUCUCUGUAAACAGUAUAUAUGAAUAGAUACUAGCAUGAGAUUCUAAGGUUAGUCGCCUAUCUGACGACGCUAAAGUCGUAUUGCAGAUAACUAUGGUGAUCAGCUAACCUUCUCUAUUGAGAUUUCUCAAUGCACUUGUAUGAAUACAUUUACAUACAAAAUGGUAACUAUCUCAUUCUGUUUGAAGCAGAGCUAAGGACUAUUGCUGAUACCAAAAUUUGUGUAAACACAUAAGUAGAUUUACGUUGAUUUGCUUGCAAACAACACCAAUAUACAAUCAACUUAAUCAAUAUUUUUGAUCUCAGAUCAGGUGAGGUUACCCGCUGAAUUUAAGCAU
This 645-nucleotide ribosomal RNA is filed under the name Tetranychus okinawanus. Its description in RNAcentral is "eukaryotic LSU rRNA". The stretch from base 1 to 122 matches the Rfam family "5.8S ribosomal RNA", at positions 34 to 154 of the family's 154-position model. The record is from RNAcentral. Lineage: Eukaryota; Metazoa; Arthropoda; Arachnida; Trombidiformes; Tetranychidae.